CUCAAGAUUCCCCUGCUCUUUGAAGGGAAACCGCUGCCGCCGCCCUUGGGUUCCGCGGCGGGUUCCUGGCGCGCAAGGAGGGUGCGGUUUGCAGCGGCUGCCCGAGGCGCGCCGGGUCAACAAAGAACAGAAUCCAGUCUCGCUGGGACACCUGCAUCAUGUGUGGAUGUGAUCUGACCACGGUGAAUGUGCUUGUGUGCAUGCUGGCCUGUGAGCGCCCCUGUGAGGACAGCUGUGCAAGCAUGGCCGUGUAUCUGCGCACACGCCACUGCCUAAACCUCAAGCAACUACCAGCUAACCAGAAAAUCCCUGGGAUCCACCAGGUACCCUGGAAGGAAGAAUAGGCAUCAUGACCAAGGCUGAGCAGUGGACAUGGAGAUGCGCCACCUGGAUCCCCCUUCAAGGAAAGACCUGCUGUCCCAGCUGCCAAGAGCACUGUGCUAGACAGCCCCUGCAGGGGCAGCCUCCAUGCAGCGAGCCAUCUUAACCAGUGUCACGCCCUUCUGGAAGUGACCCACAUCUAAUGACCUGACCCAGGAGAAAGUACAACAGCUUUGUCACUUUAGACCCAAAUAAGACACCUCUGACCAGCUAUCCUAGCCCCAGAGCUCCUCAUGGGGUCAGCUGCGGCUGUCAGGCUGCAUCAUAGCUCGGCUUCUCCCUCUACUCCAUCCUGCUUCCUUCUCUCCCUUUUUGCAGGUGUUGAUUCUGAACGCUAAACACUGUAUGCCAGACAGCGUAAUAACCCCCCCCCAAAAUGUCCGUGUCCAUCCCCAGAACCUAUGAAUACUCUGUAGAUGUGUUUAAGUUAAGGAUCUUGAGAUAGGAAGAGUAUCCUGCAUUAUCCAGGUGGACCCAGUAUAAUCCCAAGGAUCUUUAUAAGAAGGAGACCAGAGAUCAGAGAGAGAGAAGAUGUCACUCUGCUGGCUUUGAAGGUGGAAGAAGGGGUCACAAGCCAAGGAACGUAGGCAGUCUCCAGAAUCUGGAAAAAGUAAGAAAAUAAGUUCUCCUUUAGAGCCAGAGAGCACACAGCCCUACAGACCCAUUUUAGGUUUCUGACCUUCAGAACUGUAGGAUAAGAAAUGUGUGUUGUUUUAAGCUACUAAGUUUGUGGUAAUUUGUUACAGCAGCCAAUAGGAAAUUAAUACACACUGUCAUAGAAUAUGC
Molecule: non-coding RNA, 1167 nt
Organism: Globicephala melas (long-finned pilot whale)
Lineage: Eukaryota; Metazoa; Chordata; Mammalia; Artiodactyla; Delphinidae
Source: RefSeq, a predicted model, not a curated record